This 433-nucleotide ribosomal RNA is filed under the name Shigella sonnei. RNAcentral's name for it is "partial 23S ribosomal RNA". It matches the Rfam family "Bacterial large subunit ribosomal RNA", at positions 2510 to 2925 of the family's 2925-position model. The record is from RNAcentral. Lineage: Bacteria; Pseudomonadati; Pseudomonadota; Gammaproteobacteria; Enterobacterales; Enterobacteriaceae.
GGCGGUGUUUGGCACCUCGAUGUCGGCUCAUCACAUCCUGGGGCUGAAGUAGGUCCCAAGGGUAUGGCUGUUCGCCAUUUAAAGUGGUACGCGAGCUGGGUUUAGAACGUCGUGAGACAGUUCGGUCCCUAUCUGCCGUGGGCGCUGGAGAACUGAGGGGGGCUGCUCCUAGUACGAGAGGACCGGAGUGGACGCAUCACUGGUGUUCGGGUUGUCAUGCCAAUGGCACUGCCCGGUAGCUAAAUGCGGAAGAGAUAAGUGCUGAAAGCAUCUAAGCACGAAACUUGCCCCGAGAUGAGUUCUCCCUGACCCUUUAAGGGUCCUGAAGGAACGUUGAAGACGACGACGUUGAUAGGCCGGGUGUGUAAGCGCAGCGAUGCGUUGAGCUAACCGGUACUAAUGAACCGUGAGGCUUAACCUUACAACGCCGAAG